UCAAGCUAAAAAGGGCGCAAGGUGAAUGCCUUGGCACUGGGAGCCGAUGAAAGACGUGGUAAGCUGCGAAAAGCUUCGGGGAGGAGCAAACAUCCAUUGAUCCGGAGAUAUCUGAAUGGGGCAACCCAAUGGAGUUCAUACUCCAUUAUCCAAUACUGAAUCCAUAGGUAUUGGAAGGGAACCGCCUGAACUGAAACAUCUAAGUAGGGCGAGGAAGAGACAUCAAACGAGAUUCCGUAAGUAGUGGCGAGCGAACGCGGAAGAGGGCAAACCGAGAGGAGAAAUCCUUUCGGGGUACGGACUGCUUUUAAGACUGAAAGAGUUAACAGAAUGGCAUGGGAAGGCCAACCGAAGAGUGUGAGAGUCACGUAAGUAAAAAUUCUGACAGCUGCGCAGGAUCCAGAGUACGGCCAGACACGUGAAACCUGGUCGGAAUAUGGGGGGACCACCCUCCAACCCUAAAUACUACCCAGUGACCGAUAGCGUAUAGUACUGUGAAGGAAAGGUGAAAAGGACCCCGGGAGGGGAGUGAAAGAGAACCUGAAACCUUGUGCCUACAAGCACAUAGAGCCCGUCAAAGGGUGAUAUGGUACUUUUUGUAGAACGGUCCGGCGAGCGAUUGUACGUUGCAAGCUUAAGGUCUUAAGGACUGGAGGCGUAGCGAGAGCGAGUCUAAACAGGGCGUUUAGUAGCGUGCAAUGGGCCCGAAACCGGGUGACCUACCCAUGAUCAGGCUGAAGUGAAAGUAAAAUUUCAUGGAGGGCCGAACCGACCUCCGUUGAAAAGGCGGCGGAUGAAUUGUGGGUAGCGGAGAAAUUCCAAUCGAACUCGGAGAUAGCUGGUUCUCCCCGAAAUAGCUUUAGGGCUAGCCUCAUGUUAGAUAUCCGGAGGUAAAGCACUGAAUGGCCUAGCGUCCGAGAGGAUAGCGAAGCCUAUCAAACUAAGAAUGCCGGAAUAUUGAUGCAUGGGAGUCAGACAGUGUGAGAUAAAUCUCAUUGUCAAAAGGGAAACAGCCCAGAUCUACAGCUAAGGUCCCAAAUUGUAUCUAAGUGGAAAACGAUGUGGAAAUACGCAGACAACCAGGAUGUUGGCUCAGAAGCAGCCACUCAUUUAAAGAGUGCGUAAUAGCUCACUGGUCGAGCGUCUCUGCGCGGAAAAUUUAACGGGGCUAAGAUACAAACCGAAGCUUAGGCUGCACUUUUAGUGCGGGGUAGGGGAGCGUUGUGUAAGCGGAGAAACGAUAGCGUAAGCGGUCGUGGAGUUUACAGAAGUGAGAAUGCCGGAAUGAGUAGCGCGAAUGAUGUGAGAAUCAUCAUGGCCGGAAACCUCAGGUUUUUGGAGGAAGGUUCGUCCGCUCCAAGUUAGGCGGGAGCUAAGGUGAGGCCGAAAGGCGUAGCCGAUGCACAGACGGUAGAGAUUCCGUCCCCACCGAAAGAUUUAAGCGCAGGGACACUUUUAGAAGGUCGGAGCCAGGUGUUGGUUCUGGUAGAGAUCGAGGGAAGAUUAGUACCGAAGUCCGGCUGGAUAAGAGGCGAGAAAAGCUGCGUGUAUAUCUAAGGUGCCCGUACCGCAAACCGACACAGGUAGGUAGGAAGAAGAUUCUAAGGCCAACGGGAGAAGGGUUGUUAAGGAACUCGGCAAGUUGACCCCGUAACUUCGGAAUAAGGGGUGCUCAUGAAAGUGAGCCGCAGAGAAUAGGCCCAGGCAACUGUUUACCAAAAACACAGGUUUGUGCUAAAUCGAAAGAUGACGUAUACGAGCUGACGCCUGCCCGGUGCUGGAAGGUUAAAAGGAGAUGUGCAAGCAUUGAAUUGAAGCCCCAGUGAACGGCGGCCGUAACUAUAACGGUCCUAAGGUAGCGAAAUUCCUUGUCAGGUAAGUUCUGACCCGCAUGAAAGGCGUAAUGAUCUGGGCACUGUCUCAACAGCCCGCCCGGCGAAAUUGUAGUACCGGUGAAGAUGCCGGUUACCCGCGACAA
This 1978-nucleotide ribosomal RNA is filed under the name human gut metagenome. RNAcentral's name for it is "bacterial LSU rRNA". It matches the Rfam family "Bacterial large subunit ribosomal RNA", at positions 3 to 2078 of the family's 2925-position model. The record is from RNAcentral.